Long non-coding RNA from Oryzias melastigma (Indian medaka), 135 nucleotides. RefSeq lists it as uncharacterized. NCBI's taxonomy places the organism in Eukaryota, Metazoa, Chordata, Actinopteri, Beloniformes, Adrianichthyidae. The transcript is spliced from 2 exons. The record is from RefSeq and is a predicted model, not a curated record.
UGCAACUGGUGAUUCACUUGUGAACUGGAUUUGUGGAGUUGGUGUCAUGCCUGCUGGUGGAAGUGAAGCCAGACCGGUGGCAAACAUCAGUAACUCCUCCAGGGACACAGCUGUUAAUUUCUCUGGAAAAAAAAA